UGCAGGCUCACUGCUGUGGUGUGUCUCUUCCUUACAGUACAGAGUGUGGCACAGCCACAGCUACUGUGUUUGCAGGCAGUUAGGAAUUGAGUCCCUUCUGCAAAGUGAGGAGACCCCCAGUCUCUCUCAGAGGGAGUCCACUGAAACUAAUAGGAGUUAAGGGUGCUCAAUGUUUUUUUUCCUUCUCUUAACAAAAUUAAUUUUUUAGAGAUGGGGGGUACAUUUCCUGAAUGGCAUUAACUAAAAAUGACUUCAGCUGCCAGAGAACUCUGCAGACAGGAAGUGGCCUUCACACCACUUCCUCUUGGAAGUUACUGUGCAGAGUGAGCUGCUAUGUAGUAUGAGCACUGGCAGAACAGGGUUGUCUCUACUUUCCAACCAACUGGGAGAAGCCUUUGCAGUGGGAUUUAGCCUGCAAGAUGCUGUGGGGUGCCUGGAAACUUCACCUCUCAAGAGAAGUGAGCAAGCUGUUGCACUGUGGACAGAAGGAAGGGCUGCAAUAGUCUAGCACGGAAACACUUGCCUGAGAAGCUGCAACAAACUUCCUUUCAAUAAAACUGAAACAGUGGCUUGUACCAAGAGAAAUGAAUGUCUCCUUAGCCUCCCUGAGCAGAUGCCUUGUUGAUACUUGAGUGCAGCUUGCUCUGAGUGAUCCAUCAGCAGCCCAGCAAUGAGAGGAAAAUGGCCUUUGCUUUCCAGACCAGUUAAGGUUCUCAGGCAGGGACAGAUUUGAGAGAUUGGCAGGGAUCAGCUGCUGCCACCAGCUACAGGAUGUACUGGACAAGACACCAGAAGUGAUUGGGAAGGUGUGGGCCUUGGAAUGGGAAAGAGACAGACAUUAAGAGGCAAUUACACAAUCAGAUUGGGAAGGAAGCUCCUAGAAGGAAAAUGGUAGCACAUGCUGUUAACCCUGUUCAGACAAAACAUAGAAUCAUAGAAAUGUAGGCCUGGAAGAGUCCUCGAUGGGUCAUCUAGUCCAGUCCCCUGCAACGAGGCAAGACCAAGUAUUAUCGAGACCAUGAAUGACAGGUGUUUGUCCAACCUGUUCUUAAAAACCUCCAAUAAUGGAGAUUGCACAACAUCCCUAGCCCGAGAUCCUACACCAUUUACACUGAUGUUUCCUGUGUUAGUUGUCCGAUGACUGCUAACCUUUCUGGUGAAAACUGAAGCAAAACAACCUAAAGAAGAGCUCUGUGUAGCUUGAAAGCUUCUCUCUUUCACCAACAGAAGUUGGUUCAAUAAAAGAUAUUACCUCACCCACCUUGUCUCUCUUAUCCUGGGACCAACAAGACUACAACACUGCAUGAAACAAAAGGAGGCACUUAACACGUUGGCCAUUGCUGUAUUUUCAUGCUAAGUUUGAAGGCACCUAUGCAUCUGAAGAAGUGGGCUGUAGCCCAUGAAAGCUUUAUGCUCAAAUACAUUUGUUAGUCUCUAAGGUGCCACAAGUACUCCUGUUCUUUCACUUUAAACGUUUGAAAUGUAAAGUGAAUCUAGUGCUGGAGAAAGGUGCCAGUUUCACAGCCUUGAAUAAUUGAAGUCCUCUGGUUUUUCCACUCAACUUUCUAGAAAACCAUCUCAUACUGAGAGUUAACUUUAAUAGCAAUGAUGGCAUCUGGUCAAUUAGGAAACAAAAAAAAUAUAUAAUUAAUUCUUAUUAUAACAAUCUAUAGCCCACUAACAACCCCCAUCCCAAGCUGCCUUUUUUCCUUCUUCUCUCCCCCUACCCCAUGAAUGGGCCACUUCACCUU
RNA transcript from Mauremys reevesii (Reeves's turtle), 1751 nucleotides. It is a transcript of the gene named transmembrane protein 229B, with no coding region annotated. The transcript is spliced from 6 exons. NCBI's taxonomy places the organism in Eukaryota, Metazoa, Chordata, Testudines, Geoemydidae. The record is from RefSeq and is a predicted model, not a curated record.